UACGGGGGGGGCAAGCGUUGUUCGGAAUUACUGGGCGUAAAGGGCUCGUAGGCGGCCAACUAAGUCCGACGUGAAAUCCCAAGGUUUAACCUUGGAACUGCGUCGGAUACUGGAUGGCUUGAAUUCGGGAGAGGGAUGCAGAAUUCCAGGUGUAGCGGUGAAAUGCGUAGAUAUCUGGAGGAAUACCGGUGGCGAAGGCGGCAUCCUGGACCGACAUUGACGCUGAGGAGCGAAAGCUAGGGGAGCAAACGGG
This 253-nucleotide ribosomal RNA is filed under the name uncultured bacterium. RNAcentral describes it as "partial 16S ribosomal RNA". It matches the Rfam family "Bacterial small subunit ribosomal RNA", at positions 524 to 776 of the family's 1533-position model. The record is from RNAcentral.